AUACAGCGAAACUCGCGAAUGGCUCAUUAUAUAAGUUAUCGUUUAUUUGAUAGUGCCUUACUACUUGGAUAACCGUGGUAAUUCUAGAGCUAAUACAUGCUAAAAACCCCGACUUCGGAAGGGGUGUAUUUAUUAGAUACAAAACCAAUGCCCUUCGGGGCUCUUUGGUGAUUCAUGAUAACUAUACGAAUCGCACGGCCUUGCGCCGGCGAUGGUUCAUUCAAAUUUCUUCCCUAUCAACUUUCGAUGUUUGGGUAUUGGCCAAACAUGGUUGCAACGGGUAACGGAGGGUUAGGGCUCGACCCCGGAGAAGGAGCCUGAGAAACGGCUACUACAUCCAAGGAAGGCAGCAGGCGCGCAAAUUACCCAAUCCCGACUCGGGGAGGUAGUGACAAUAAAUACUGAUACAGGGCCCUUUCGGGCCUUGUAAUUGGAAUGAGUACAAUUUAAAUCCCUUAACGAGGAACAAUUGGAGGGCAAGUCUGGUGCCAGCAGCCGCGGUAAUUCCAGCUCCAAUAGCGUAUAU
RNAcentral lists this ribosomal RNA (526 nucleotides) under uncultured eukaryote. Its description in RNAcentral is "SSU rRNA". It matches the Rfam family "Eukaryotic small subunit ribosomal RNA", at positions 76 to 604 of the family's 1831-position model. The record is from RNAcentral.